This 5747-nucleotide unclassified non-coding RNA is filed under the name Hevea brasiliensis (rubber tree). The record is from RNAcentral. Lineage: Eukaryota; Viridiplantae; Streptophyta; Magnoliopsida; Malpighiales; Euphorbiaceae.
CUCUUGUUAAAAUCUUUCUUACGGUUCACAAUUCGAUCGCGGUUUUAAGGAAUCGUAGAUUGAAUUUAAUUGUUUUUGCUUUGCACAGUAUCUCUGCUAUGGAGUACUGUUCUCUCUAAUCUUAGUAAUGAUUUCUUCGGCUAGGCAUGAGUUUCUUGAAAGGCAUAAUUGAUUCUCUGGGCUCCGUCCUCUCUUCGUAUAGCUCUGCAUCUCCAGUUGAAGAAGGAAAUCCUAGCUCUGGAACAAUGGAAGGUGUAACUGGGACUUCGAUCACAAAUGAACGCGCUGCAUAUAAGCUCAAGGGGUUCUUCGAUUUGGCCAAAGAAGAGAUUGCCAAGGCCGUAAGGGCCGAAGAAUGGGGUUUGGUUGACGAUGCGAUUGUCCAUUACAAGAACGCCCAACGAAUACUUGUCGAAGCAACUUCAACACCUGUGCCUUCUUAUAUCAGCUUUAGCGAGCAAGAGAAAGUUAAAUCUUAUCGUCAAAAAAUAUCAAAAUGGCAGGGUCAAGUUUCGGACAGAUUGCAAACGUUAAAUCGGCGAGCAGGUUCACAAUUUAUUCUGAAUUACUUGGUUCGUACAUUGUUUUUAAACUGAAUUAUUCAUGGGAGAGUGCUAAUGCUUUCUUUUGGUUGUUCUUCUUAUCCCCACUCGUCACUUUGGUUUUUUUUUUAUCAGCUGGCACAUUCUCAAACAAGGUAUGGCUUGGUUGUUGUAAAUUGCAAAUUUAAAAUUCUUCUCUUACUUUAAGCAUGAUUACGUUUCUAUGGUGCAAUUAGGUGUAAUUGUGUCAUUUUCCAGAUUCAAUCUUUUUUGCAUACUAACAAAUAAUCAUACAGAAAAGUGUUGCUUUCAUUACAUUUAACAUAUGUUAUUUGGUUGGUAGAUUAAUGGGUCUUGGAAUUUUGAAAUCUUUUCCUUUGACACUAGAAACACUAGCACUAGUUUGCAUUAUUGAUGGAAUGGCUUUAAUCAGUUAAUUCUUUUCUAUGUGAAAGAGAUCUCACUCAUAACUUCUAACUAUUAUGGAAUUUAGGUGUUUAGUUUCUUAUGGAUGCCAAAGUUUGUAUAUUUUUUGUUUAAUGACUUAUUAUGACUCUAAAAAAUUCUUUAGACCUUUAUCAGUCUUUGUCCCAAGAAAUAUGUCUCAUCCAAACAGUCAUUGGCAACAUCAAUCCUUCAGGAUAGCCAAAACCAUUAUGUUGCUUGUAUUGGUUAGUUGUUAUACUCUGUAAUUGCUUAAGCAGAGAGAGAAAAGGAGGGGAAAACUUGAAUGACUUUUUUGUUUACCAUUGCAAACCGCAACUUUUUUUUUUCUUAUAAACUGAAUUGGUAGUUUUAUUCAAGUUAGCAUCUCUCGUAUAUAUAGGUAAAGAUCUAUACAUGUAUUAAAAUAGUUGAUUAGACUGAAAUGCUAAAACAUGAGCAUGUUCAACACUUGCCUACUGUUUGUUCUUUGAAAAAAUUCCUUGCAGCCUUGGCAACAAUGUAAUGCAGUUUAUGCAUGUGGAUGGUGGCAAUGUGCCUAUCUUUAAAAAUUGGGUUUAAUGCAAAGAAUGACGAUCAGCUUGAGUAGCAUACUUGAAAUUAUGCCAUUUCUUCCAGUUUGCUUUUUGUUUGAAUAAUUAACUUUUGCAACUCAAAAUCAAAUUCUUUCUUUUUUGGCCUUGAAUAAAGUUUGUGCAAAAUUUGAAACUAUGAAUUACCGACUGGUUUUGAUUAUGUAAUUCUGUAUAUGUUGUUUAUUCCUCAAAAUAUUGCAGAACACCAUAACUCAUGCACAUAGUGCUGCAGUUUCAUCAACAUCAUCAAAUUUUAAACAAGAUCUGUCACAAAAGUCUCCUCGUUCCACUGGAAACAGUCCAAUAAUCAGGAAUCAGACUGAUAAAGCUGCAAGUUCAAAACCUAUUCUAGAUUCUGGUAGCAGUUAUGAUGCAAAAUUGGUUGAAAUGAUUAAUUCUGCAAUAGUGGAUAGAAGUCCUUCUGUGAAAUGGGAUGAUGUUGCUGGGCUUGAGAAAGCAAAACAAAGUCUAAUGGAAAUGGUUAUUUUGCCGACUAAGAGAAGAGACUUGUUCACUGGGAUUCGGAGGCCAGCUAGAGGUCUUCUGCUCUUUGGUCCACCUGGUAAUGGGAAAACGAUGCUUGCCAAAGCAGUUGCUUCAGAGUCACAGGCAACAUUCUUUAAUGUUUCAGCAUCUUCCCUAACAUCAAAAUGGGUGGGAGAGGCUGAAAAGCUUGUUCGGACACUCUUUAUGGUUGCAAUAUCCAGACAGCCAUCAGUAAUUUUCAUGGAUGAAGUAUGCUACUCUUUCUGCAAACUUCAUUGUAUUGUUUAAUUUUAUUAGAAAUCAUGCUUCUCUUGUUUCUUUCUGCUAUACAAUACUCUGUACCUCCUCGUAUAUACGUACCAAGAAUAAUGGAUGCCUAAGUAAAAUAGUUUGUGGGCAUUAGUUUUGGUUGUUGAACAAUUGAUGUUGCAGCUACUAAUUCCUUGUAGCUUGUUGAUAUCAGAACAAUUGAUGUUGCAUCUGCUAAUUCCUUGUAGCUUGGUGAUAUCAAGACUAAUUUUGUCUUUUUUUGUAUCACCCUUGAAAUGUUAAUGAGGGCAAGAGUCAUGAUAUCAUCUGUUCAGAAAAAUUUUGCUACAAUUUUCCACUUCACUUCAGUGUUCCAAUUUCCAACCAAUCGUUGCUUUCUCUUAUCUACAGCUGCUGUAGAUUAAUGAAAUCCUAUCUAAAUUCAAUUGCAAUCUGUGUCUUUGGUGGCAUAGUAACCGCUACCAUCAGCCUCUUAUCGGUGCUUCAACCUCCAUUCUGAAAUAUGUAAUGAUUUCCUUUUCUUGUUUGUUAACAGAUUGAUAGUAUCAUGUCAACAAGGUUGGCCAAUGAGAAUGAUGCAAGUAGAAGGUUGAAAUCUGAGUUUCUAAUACAAUUUGAUGGAGUGACCUCUAAUACUAAUGAUUUAGUAAUUGUUAUUGGUAAGCUUAAUGUAAUCCAAUUAAGGCACAUACCUACUACACCUGGUGUAUCUAUGGAUUUUGCUUUUUAGCUAAUUAUAUUGACAAAGUAAAAUUCGUUGGAUACAUAUGCAUUACUAGUCAGUUAACCUGUCAGUCACAUGUAAUCAAGAGAGCAUGUUAUCCAACUUCUUCUCAUUUGGCUCAACAUAGCCAUCACUCUCUUCAUAUUCUGUUCUUAGAUGGGGCUUACAGAGCUUCACAGAGUGGUCAUUUCAUUAAAUCUCUUAGUUCCAUUGCACCUAGCCAUAAAUACAAUAUGUAGAACAUCUUGUUUGACAUUUCAUAUUUUAACAAGGAAAUUAAAAAAAAAUUGCCAUUGAAGUUUAUGGCAUUAGUAUAUAUAUUGCAAUAUUCUGAAAUUUUUAGAAAUUGUAGUUGACCUUUAUCUGCUCCAAAACAAUUGGACUGGGCAUGCUGGUCAUUAGCUCAUGUUUGUACUGUUGUAACAUGUUUGGAUUUGUUUAUCUGACAUUGUUGUUAAAUUUGGUCCUUUUUGUGUUGAUGCAGGUGCUACAAAUAAGCCACAAGAAUUGGAUGAUGCAGUUCUUAGGAGACUGGUUAGUGUUGUCACUUGACUUUGCAGAAUGCAGUUUAUGCAUGUGCAUGGCGGUCAUGUACCUGUCUUUAAAAAUUGGUUUUAAGUGCAAAGAACGAAUGACGAUCAGCCUGAGUAGCAUACUCAAGAUCAAGUCAUUUCUUCCUGUUUGCAUUAUUCCUUUUUUUUUUUGUAUUAAUUCAAUCAACUUUCACUUCUAGUUAGUUUGUUUGUUAACUUUUGCAACUGAGUGCAAUAUGAAACCCUGAAUCAGGUGAAGAGAAUAUAUGUACCUCUACCAGAUAAAAAUGUUAGGAGGCUUCUUUUGAAACACAAACUCAAGGGCCAAGCAUUUUCCUUACCUGAUGGAGACCUUGAAAGACUUGUCAGAGAGACAGAAGGUAAGAUAAUUAUUACUAUCAUUGCCUUCAAAUACAUUAUUUAUUUGAUGGAAGUGGAUUGGAAUUCUCAUUUAAUAGGAAAUGAUUUUAGCCAAAUGCUGAAGUCAAAUUGAUGAACUUGCACAUGCAUUGGUUGCUUCUUGUAGCCAAUGGAUGUAUGCUACUAAACAGUGAAGGACAAAAUUUAAGUCCAAUCAUCAAUGUUGGAUAAUAGGAAUAAAUCUUUUCAAACUAAAUAUUUGUGAAUCACUUCAACUUUAAUUUAUAGGAUACUCUGGAAGUGAUCUACAAGCUUUGUGUGAAGAAGCUGCAAUGAUGCCAAUUAGAGAGCUUGGCUCGAACAUUCUCACUGUCAAGGCAAAUCAGGUGAUUCAGCUAAGCCUGUCUCUAUUUAUGACUUGGUAAAUAAGUUAAAUAUUAUACUUCUGGAAAAAUGAUAUUUGAUGCUGGCAGAUGAAAAGGUAGGUUUUCCACAGCUUUGGGUACAGCAAUAACUAUUCGGUAAAUAUGGAUUAUGGGAUUUACCCAUUCAUGUUAAAAAGCAAGAUCAUGGCUUUUUAGUUUUUGACCAUGUAGUUGUGGGUUCAAUUAAGUCUUAGCUGCAACACGUGGUUCUAAACCUCACCUCUGUGUGUGGGUCCUAAACCUGUGUGUUUGUAUGUGAGGGAGGGAGAGAGAUCUAAGGAGAUUUUGGGGAUGUUGGUGCCUCUGCGGCAUACCAUCUCCAAUGUUUAAGUUAGUAGCUUAUAGAGAAUAAGAGAAAGGAGAGAAAAGGAGCACUUUAUCUCAGUCUACUUAUUUCAUCCUUGCCUGAGUCGCUAAUACAGCUAUUUUUAUAAUUUAAUUGAAGGUUCAUUAUCAGAAAUCCUUUAGGAAGCAAAACACGCUGCAUAAAUUGAAUCUAUCCUGUCUUUUUCGUUUGAAACAAUUAGUUUGGCAGUGAAGUAGGAGAUCUGUUUACUGUUAUCUUUCUUCAUGGACGGAGAGAGGAAGGAAGUCAGCAAAAUUUUAUUAAAAAACAUAAAUAUUCUUUAAAGAAAAUGUACUAGACAUUGAAAUUAAUUAGUUUUCACAUCCAAUAUCAUCUUAACCUACACCUCUCCCUGUCUCCUGUCUAAAAGCCAUAUUUUAUUUAUAUUCCCAACAAAACAGUAUUCUUUGGUCAUUAUGGUUCUCAAUUUCUAUGAACUGUAAUGUACAUUAGGUUUCCACUUGGAUAGGUAAAUAAUUCGUGGGUAUUACCUAGAACCUCUAUUAAAAAUAAAUAAAACGUUAUUUAUAGCGAUUGACAUUUGUUUUAUCAGGUGAGACGAUUAAAUUAUGAAGACUUUCAGAAGGCAAUGACUGUCAUUAGGCCCAGUUUGAGCAAGAGCAAAUGGGAAGAGCUUGAACGGUGGAAUGAGGAGUUUGGGUCCAACUAAUUGAUUUCUGAUUGCGAAAUGCAACGUCUCAAUUAUUGGAUUUCAUAUAAUCUACAAUUAGAAAAUACACUGCACGCACUACAAGGAAAUCCUUGUGCACAGUUCACAAUCUGAACUAGUUCUUUGUACAUAUGUGGCUUUUGUACUGAAUAUCGUCAUUGAAAGAACUGCUAGCAUUUUCCUUGAAAGAAAGCAUUUGCCCCUGUGCAAAUUUGUAACUAUACUAAUUAAAGAACAAAAUAAGAAAAUCUUUCAUGUGGAGGAGAUGAUUUAAGAAUGAUUGCGAGCGUGCAUAGCUUUUCGUGCACCCCACGACAUCAUAUGGAUAGUGGUAUUGCAAUUUUCCUUCUCAUCCAAUCCUCUACAUCUGGG